GAAGUACGUAGUUAUGUACCCGAAACCAGGUGACCUACCCAUGUCCAGGGUGAAGGUGCGGUAAAACGCACUGGAGGCCCGAACCCGUGUCUGUUGAAAAAGGCUGGGAUGAGGUGUGGGUAGCGGUGAAAUUCCAAACGAACUUGGAGAUAGCUGGUUCUCUCCGAAAUCUCUUUAGGGGGAGCCUCGGAAUCGAGAAUCUUGGAGGUAGAGCACUGUUUGGACGAGGGGCCCGUCAUGGGUUACCGACUUCAGAUAAACUCCGAAUGCCAAUGAUUUAUGUCCGGGAGUCAGACGAUGAGUGAUAAGAUCCACCGUCGAAAGGGGAACAGCCCAGAUCACCAGUUAAGGUCCCUAAAUAUAUGCUAAGUGGAAAAGGAUGUGGAGUUGCAUAGACAACUAGGAUGUUGGCUCAGAAGCAGCCAUCAUUUAAAGAGUGCGUAAUAGCUCACUAGUCGAGUGAUUCUGCGCCGAAAAUGUACCGGGGCUAAGCAUAUUACCGAAACUGUGGAUGUGUCCUUUUGGACACGUGAUAGGAGAGCGUUCUAAGGGCGACGAAGUUAGACCGUGAGGACUAGUGGAGCGCUUAGAAGUGAGAAUGCCGGUAUGAGUAGCGAAAGACAGGUGAGAAUCCUGUCCACCGAAUGACUAAGGUUUCCUGGGGAAGGCUCGUCCUCCCAGGGUAAGUCGGGACCUAAGGCGAGGCCGAGAGGCGUAGUCGAUGGAUAACAGGUUGAGAUUCCUGUACCAGUUAAAUGCGUUUGAAUGAUGGAGGGACG
This 779-nucleotide ribosomal RNA is filed under the name Limosilactobacillus fermentum. RNAcentral's name for it is "bacterial LSU rRNA". It matches the Rfam family "Bacterial large subunit ribosomal RNA", at positions 696 to 1474 of the family's 2925-position model. The record is from RNAcentral. Lineage: Bacteria; Bacillati; Bacillota; Bacilli; Lactobacillales; Lactobacillaceae.